UCAGUUUUAUUCAGUAAACAAAGUGUUUUUGUCAACGUUUGUUGUGUCGGCCACGCUAUGAGUAAAUACAUCUGCAUUGCUACUAUCCUGUUACUUGUUCAAGUGCAGUUCCUGGAAGCAAUGAACAGCCCUUAUACUGGAACACGAUUCCCGAGAGAUACGAGUGGUGAAGGAGAAACUGUCAAACGCGUUCCCUGCAUUACGGCGAGGGGAGAAUUCGGAAAAUGCAUCUCGUCUGUUCUAUGUGACAGAACACCACAUAUAGAUGACAGCGACAGUGAUUCAAAAUACUGCCCACAUUAUAUGGAAGUGUGCUGUACUCAAAAAGAUAUAAUCCGUCUUCAUGAUGUUCCAAGUUCGUAGAGAAGUAGAAAUAUUUGGACACAUCACUAACAUGGCAUUAACAAGAUGGGCUCAGACUUUCCAAGAAACACCAAAAUAUGAGACGACAACUUCAAUUAGAACCCAAAAAUUAUUCUAUUUCUUCUAGAUUAUAAAUAUAAGCUUCUU
Molecule: long non-coding RNA, 510 nt
Organism: Leptidea sinapis
Lineage: Eukaryota; Metazoa; Arthropoda; Insecta; Lepidoptera; Pieridae
Exons: 5
Source: RefSeq, a predicted model, not a curated record